Vitis riparia (riverbank grape) is the source of this 441-nucleotide long non-coding RNA. RefSeq lists it as uncharacterized. The record is from RefSeq and is a predicted model, not a curated record. Lineage: Eukaryota; Viridiplantae; Streptophyta; Magnoliopsida; Vitales; Vitaceae. The transcript is spliced from 2 exons.
AGGAGAAUAUAGUGAUUAGACUCUUGAUCAUGCAAAGGUCCUUUAUUAACCGGGAGAUUGGAUCCCGAUUCUUCAGUCAUGAUCCAAGUGCCACCAAAAAGAGUUGUUUACUAUAAAUUCAAAAUCAUUAAAUUUUCAUUCAAGAACAUUGUUCAGAAAGCAUUUCUAGAUUGGACCAGCAGAAAAAAAUGAAGCACCUCUUGACUUUGGAGCUCAUCAGCGCACAGAUAUGAUUUGGAGAGCUAUGAACUAAAUCCCAGAAAGCCAAUCAAUUGACACAUGGCUGUUAGUGCAUGAGCAUGUAUCAACCAUGCUGACAGAAUUUUGAAGGCAUAUAGAAAGGGAUGGAAUGUAAAAAUGAUUUACUAUGUAAGUCAAAAACUACAUAAAUGUUGGAUUAAUUAACAGUAAAUUAUAAAGAUGUAUCUUUGUUGUGUUCAA